AGAUGCAUGAUAAGCACCCCAAGCCACCGCAGGGGAGGCUGAAAGUCUCCUUUAUUGCUGUGGGAGAUUCUCCCCAGUGUGGUAUGACAGGUAGAACUCAGAGGUUGAAGUUUCUGAACUAUUUGAUGAUCUCCCAGAUACCACGUCUUUUUCACUAAACUAGAAUGAAAGAAAUCCAAACAGGCAAAUAUAAGAAUUAUUAACUUAAAAACAAAUAAAUAAAACAGUACUGAAAAAUUAUUUUGAUCCAUGUAGGAGAAGAAGGUGUCACAGCAACUAAUAAUAAGUACAAUAUGUUGUUACAAUAAGUAACUACUGCUGUUUCAUUGAUAUAGGAAGCUCUGUGUUUUAAACCAGGUUCAAGCCAAUGGCUCUCAGGAAUACUUGGUAAGUAGACACUUGUGUAGCAUAUCAGGCCAAAAAUGACAAAGAUAGAUUUACUAAUCAGGUGAGCCAAGAUACAUGCAUGGCUUUGUGCCUCACAGAAUUGAAUAUUCAGGACAGGCUGUUGGUGGAGCGAAUGCUGGCAGAACCAAACUCCAUGUGUGAAUGACUGUACCCAUAACCAGUUAUUUUUCAAUCUUCACCAAUUACAGAGAAGCAGAACAACUUCAGGACUGAAGUAUAAAGGGUUUGGGGUGAAGUAUUUGAACUUGAAACUUGUAGCUCACCAAUUAGGACAAUGACAGGUUGUGAAACUUAGUGUAUGUUCAGACAAGGUCAUUGAAAUCAGUCCUGGAUCUACUCUAGCCUUCACUCUCUAAUAUGGGAGGAGUCUUUGCUUAAUGAAAAGUGUGUAUGUGGAUUUCUUAAAUGAGUAUUUAUUUAUUUUUAGUGUGGAUUUUUACAGCUGCUAUUUUUAAUGAAAUAAAUACAAAUUUGUUUCUGCCCACAGCUGCGUGCCAUUGCAAGUUUGGGUUGGAGUGCUGAAAAUGGUUCUGUCCUCAGGGAACUUCGAUGUGGUUCAGCCUCCAGAAGCAAACUGGGAAUAUUUUUGUCCAAACUGCCCAGCAUCCUGGUGUGACAAAGCAAAAUUUUUGGCAUUACUGUGGCUCUUUUUAUGUCUCUUGUACUGAAGAUUUUCCUACAGUUGAUUUGUGCUUUUGGGAGAGCUGAAUAAAUCAGACCUACAGCUUAACAUAAGGAAUAUUAGUGUUCAUCUUUCUUAGCCUUUUUCUUCAAAUUUGUCUGUCGUACUUCUAGUGCCUAUUCUCGUUGUUUUGAUUUUCUGUGUUUGCAAGCAAGAUUUAGAUUAUUUAUAACCUUUCUUCUUACACAUUUUUGGCAUUCUCUGUGUAGAUCUAUCAGUAGGUAAUUGUCAUUUCACUUUGUAGGCCAAAACAAAAAUCCUAACUCAGAAUGCUAUCUGCCUGCCCUUCUAAUUUGCUUACAAGGUGCUUAGUGCUUUAUGUUCUACAUUUAAUAUUCACUCUGUGAGGCCUAAUCUAUGCUGUAUUGUGCACAGACAGUGCUCUGGAAUUAGCAGCCAGCACAACAGGAUUAUAAUUGUGUGUAAUCAAACCGCCAGGCAAAUUGCAAAGCAAUUGCAAGUAUGGCACUCUGAGGCUCGACCUGUCAUCACUGCAGUUCUUGUAUCUGUUUUCCUUUUCCCCUUCAUUGGUAAGUCUGGUGGUACUGCAAUCUGGGAUGUACAUGCCUCUCCAAGGCUCUCCAGGCAAACACUAUCCUCAUGACUUCAAAUGCAUGAAGUAACGUGGUAGCAAAAACAGUAAUUAUCAAUUCAAAAGAUAGAAGCUAAAAGGUCAUAUCCUGGCUCUUGUUUUGACUUUCCCUGGACCCUGCAUUAAGCCCUCAUGUUUGUUGCUGCUGCUUAGUCUAUGUAAGUUUACAAGAUUGUUAAAAAUCCUAUCGGAGUUAUGUCAAUUAACCUUUUCAAAUAAAUUUCUUAUUUUUUCUUUUUCA
This 1923-nucleotide long non-coding RNA is filed under the name Anas platyrhynchos platyrhynchos (common mallard). RNAcentral's name for it is "lncRNA (ENSAPLG00000021526.1)". The record is from RNAcentral. Lineage: Eukaryota; Metazoa; Chordata; Aves; Anseriformes; Anatidae.